AUGAACGCUGGCGGCGUGCCUAAUACCUGCAAGUCGAGCGAACGGACGAGAAGCUUGCUUUUCUGAUGUUAGCGGCGGACGGGUGAGUAACACGUGGAUAACCUACCUAUAAGACUGGGAUAACUUCGGGAAACCGGAGCUAAUACCGGAUAAUAUUUUGAACCGCAUGGUUCAAAAGUGAAAGACGGUCUUGCUGUCACUUAUGGAUGGAUCCGCGCUGCAUUAGCUAGUUGGUAAGGUAACGGCUUACCAAGGCAACGAUGCAUAGCCGACCUGAGAGGGUGAUCGGCCACACUGGAACUGAGACACGGUCCAGACUCCUACGGGAGGCAGCAGUAGGGAAUCUUCCGCAAUGGGCGAAAGCCUGACGGAGCAACGCCGCGUGAGUGAUGAAGGUCUUCGGAUCGUAAAACUCUGUUAUUAGGGAAGAACAUAUGUGUAAGUAACUGUGCACAUCUUGACGGUACCUAAUCAGAAAGCCACGGCUAACUACGUG
RNAcentral lists this ribosomal RNA (496 nucleotides) under uncultured bacterium. RNAcentral's name for it is "partial 16S ribosomal RNA". It matches the Rfam family "Bacterial small subunit ribosomal RNA", at positions 29 to 507 of the family's 1533-position model. The record is from RNAcentral.